Molecule: non-coding RNA, 395 nt
Organism: Pelobates cultripes (western spadefoot toad)
Lineage: Eukaryota; Metazoa; Chordata; Amphibia; Anura; Pelobatidae
Source: the annotation of a GenBank genome assembly
CCCCAUUCCCGCCACCAUAGCCCUGCUUCAUCGAUGAUCACUCAUCUGGCCUCUGUGUGUCAUAAUGGGGCUACUUCUCAUGUCAGUAUGUGUAGCUAGAUCUAUGCUCUAAUGUAUGAGUGGCAAGAUGUCUGAUGAUCCAAAUAUCGAAAUAUACCAGAGGCCUGCCCCUGACUGGAAGAUGAGAUCCUCCAAGAAGUUCCUCCCUUUGUUGGAACUAGAUCUGGUCGCAGCUCCACCAUAGGUGUAAAGUAAAGUAGUGCCCACCAACCAUGUUUAUCUCCAGCAUCCCUCAUCAAAGGCUGAUUCCUGUGUCUUGCUGUCUAAUUACGUUUGAUCCCAGGAAAAGAGGGGGUAACAGAUUAAAGAGCUGUAAUUCCUAAACCGUUCCUCCA